Molecule: long non-coding RNA, 303 nt
Filed under: Trifolium pratense (red clover)
Lineage: Eukaryota; Viridiplantae; Streptophyta; Magnoliopsida; Fabales; Fabaceae
Description: long non-coding RNA (TPRA_LNC006685)
Source: RNAcentral
UACAUUCUAAAUUAUUACAAAUUCUUAUUAUUGGUUAUCAUCAAUAAUAAUAAUUAUCAUUAAAAGACACAACACCAAAGUUGAAGAUCGAGUCUCAAACAUUAACCACUCAUCAUGAUGUAAAUCAAUUCCCUUUCCAUCAAAAUCAACACCAUCCCACAACCCAUCCAAAUGCAUUUUCUUGCAUAAGAUAUUUUGCAUUGUGUUUGUGGUUGUGGAGAUCAAAAAAUGCAAUCUAAUUGUUGAUGAAGGGACUUAUCUCAAAUUUUUAAUGUCAAAAAUGGUGGGGGUUGAUGAAAAGAA